RNAcentral lists this long non-coding RNA (221 nucleotides) under Gossypium barbadense (sea-island cotton). Its description in RNAcentral is "long non-coding RNA (GBAR_LNC020089)". The record is from RNAcentral. Lineage: Eukaryota; Viridiplantae; Streptophyta; Magnoliopsida; Malvales; Malvaceae.
UACUCUAGAAGUUUCUAAAUAAUACAGGAACGUGAAACAGGACUAUUGUUUAGAACGCACCAUGUUUAAAGGUUAGAAAUCUGAAAAUGAAAAGUCUAAAUUAGGAUUUUCUCUUUGGAUUUUGUUGUUAAAAACAUUGAUUGAACAAAAUGACAAAGCUUAAAUAAACAAGUAAGUAAUGAUCACCAAACAGUAGGAAGAUGUUUCCUCGGAGAAGAAAG